RNAcentral lists this ribosomal RNA (253 nucleotides) under uncultured bacterium. Its description in RNAcentral is "partial 16S ribosomal RNA". It matches the Rfam family "Bacterial small subunit ribosomal RNA", at positions 524 to 776 of the family's 1533-position model. The record is from RNAcentral.
UACGUAAGGGGCAAGCGUUGUCCGGAAUCAUUGGGCGUAAAGCGCGUGUAGGCGGCUCGAUAAGUCUGCUGUGAAAGUCCAGGGCUCAACCCUGGGAUGCCGGUGGAUACUGUCGAGCUCGAGUCCGGAAGAGGUGUGUGGAAUUCCUGGUGUAGCGGUGAAAUGCGCAGAUAUCGAGAGGAACACCUGCGGCGAAGGCGGGUUGCUGGGCUGAUACUGACGCUGAGGCGCGAAAGCCAGGGGAGCGAACGGG